GAAAUGCGAUAAGUAAUGUGAAUUGCAGAAUUCAGUAAAUCAUCGAAUCUUUGAACGCACCGUGCGCUCCUUGGUAUUCCGAGGAGCAUGCCUGUUUGAGUGUCAUGAAACCCUCAAACCCAUGUUUUGGAUUUCGAUCCAUGCUUGAGUUUGGAUUUGGAUGUUUGCCGGUGAUUAACCGACUCAUCUUAAAAGUAUUAGCUUGGAUCUGUCUAUAUCACUGGUUUGACCUGGCAUAAUAAGUAUUUUGCUGAGGACAUCUUCGGAUGGCCAGGACAUAGACUACUGUCUGCUAACUAAACCAUCACUUUAAGUGCAUCUUUGGAUGUUACUCACUCUGUAACUUUGACAUCUGGCCUCAAAUCAAGUAGGACUACCCGCUGAACUUAA
RNAcentral lists this unclassified non-coding RNA (390 nucleotides) under uncultured fungus. RNAcentral's name for it is "sequence contains ITS1". The stretch from base 1 to 105 matches the Rfam family "5.8S ribosomal RNA", at positions 50 to 154 of the family's 154-position model. Lineage: Eukaryota; Fungi. The record is from RNAcentral.